AACGGUGACGAUGCGUCUAUGGGAAACACUCGUUCCCAUCCCGAACACGAAAGUUAAGCCAUAGACGGCCGAUGGUACUUGGUGGGUGACUGCCUGGGAGAGUAGGUGGUUGCCGUUU
This 118-nucleotide ribosomal RNA is filed under the name Clostridia bacterium. RNAcentral also lists the same sequence under 1 other name. Lineage: Bacteria; Bacillati; Bacillota; Clostridia. The record is from RNAcentral.